CACAGCUCACUUGUUAAUGCAGUCUAUGUGCGUUCAGAUUAUGUCGACGAGAUCUAUCGCUCAUCGGAACAUGUAGCUUAGUCUUCAUACAUUAUCUGGUACAUGGAAAAAGCUUUGGUUAGCCUCUGGUCAUUUAAGUCAAAUGUAAAUUCCCAGAGGGUUUUCAUACCCUAUUGUUCUUGUUGGGCCAAGGCAGCACCAUUACCAUAUGAUAGGUUUUGUGAUUUUAGGCCCCUUGAGGUACAUAUCAG
RNAcentral lists this unclassified non-coding RNA (251 nucleotides) under Hevea brasiliensis (rubber tree). The record is from RNAcentral. Lineage: Eukaryota; Viridiplantae; Streptophyta; Magnoliopsida; Malpighiales; Euphorbiaceae.